Molecule: ribosomal RNA, 327 nt
Filed under: Aname pallida
Lineage: Eukaryota; Metazoa; Arthropoda; Arachnida; Araneae; Anamidae
Description: partial 12S ribosomal RNA
Source: RNAcentral
UCUGGGCUAAAAAAGGUAAUACUUAAAAAGGAAACCUAUUCCCUUUGGCGGCCUUAUUUCUCAUUGAAGGAACUUGUCUAUUAAUCGAAAUUACCCGAUCGUUUUUACUCCUUUUUAGUUUUUAUACCGUCGUCUUAAGAAUAUUGUAAAAGAAAUUAUUCUCGACUGAAUAUUCAGUAAAGUCAGAUCAAGGUGAAGCGUAUACAGAAGAUAAGAUGAGUUAUUUAUAAGCAAUACUAAAGGACUGGCUAUAAAAAUAGUUCUCAAAUUAAGAUCCAACAGUACCCAAAAAUUAAAAUUUUUUAGGGAAGAAGUAAAGAAAGGUGU